This 422-nucleotide ribosomal RNA is filed under the name uncultured bacterium. Its description in RNAcentral is "bacterial SSU rRNA". It matches the Rfam family "Bacterial small subunit ribosomal RNA", at positions 355 to 774 of the family's 1533-position model. The record is from RNAcentral.
UGAGGAAUAUUGCGCAAUGGAGGCAACUCUGACGCAGCCAUGCCGCGUGCAGGAAGAAGGCGCUACGCGUUGUAAACUGCUUUUAUCCGGGGAGAAACCCCUCCACGCGUGGAGGGUUGACGGUACCGGAGGAAUAAGCACCGGCUAACUUCGUGCCAGCAGCCGCGGUAAUACGUAGGAUGCGAGCGUUGUCCGGAUUCACUGGGUGUAAAGGGAGCGCAGGCGGGCUUUCAAGUCAGUGGUGAAAUCUCACAGCUCAACUGUGAAAUUGCCGCUGAUACUGUAGGCCUUGAGUACGGAAAAGGGUGAUAGAAUUCAUGGUGUAGCGGUGAAAUGCGUAGAUAUCAUGAAGAAUACCAGUUGCGAAGGCGGUCACCUGGUCCGUUACUGACGCUCAUGCUCGAAAGUGUGGGGAGCAAACA